Molecule: ribosomal RNA, 376 nt
Filed under: uncultured delta proteobacterium
Lineage: Bacteria; Deltaproteobacteria
Description: bacterial SSU rRNA
Rfam family: Bacterial small subunit ribosomal RNA
Source: RNAcentral
AGGAAGCACCGGCUAACUCCGUGCCAGCAGCCGCGGUAAUACGGAGGGUGCAAGCGUUGUUCGGAAUUAUUGGGCGUAAAGCGCGUGUAGGCGGUCGAGUAAGUCAGAUGUGAAAGCCUUCCGCUCAACGGAAGAAGUGCAUUUGAAACUGCUUGGCUAGAGUACGGGAGAGGAGAGUGGAAUUCCCGGUGUAGAGGUGAAAUUCGUAGAUAUCGGGAGGAACACCAGUGGCGAAGGCGGCUCUCUGGUCCGAUACUGACGCUGAGACGCGAAAGCGUGGGGAGCAAACAGGAUUAGAUACCCUGGUAGUCCACGCCGUAAACGAUGGGCACUAGGUGUAGGAGGUAUUGACCCCUUCUGUGCCGAAGCUAACGCA